RNAcentral lists this ribosomal RNA (232 nucleotides) under uncultured bacterium. RNAcentral's name for it is "partial 16S ribosomal RNA". It matches the Rfam family "Bacterial small subunit ribosomal RNA", at positions 102 to 334 of the family's 1533-position model. The record is from RNAcentral.
ACGGGUGAGUAACGCGUGGUCAACCGACCGUUGAGUGGGGAUAACUAGCCGAAAGGCUAGCUAAUACCGCAUACGUCUCCGAGGGGCAUCCCUUGGCGAUAAAAGGAGCAAUCCGCUCGAUGACGGGACCGCGUCCCAUUAGCUAGAUGGUGGGGUAACGGCCUACCAUGGCACCGAUGGGUAGCUGGUUUGAGAGAGCGACCAGCCACACUGGGACUGAGACACGGCCCAG